Molecule: long non-coding RNA, 2305 nt
Organism: Gallus gallus (chicken)
Lineage: Eukaryota; Metazoa; Chordata; Aves; Galliformes; Phasianidae
Source: Ensembl
GUUAUCAUUUUUUCUGUCAGUGACAAUUUUAGUGAUUUUGUUGAAGAUACUUCCAGAAAGGAAGCUCUGGACUUUGUUACAGCCACAUCAGUUAUGUCAACUCAAAGGCAAUUUCUGGGCCAAUUUCUUGAGUAAGGUCUGUCUGCUUACAUGAUUUAUGCAGCAAGUGCUUAUUCCAGGAUGAGAAAGGAAAGUAAAUAUGGAAGAAAAAAAGCCCACAAAGAUAAGUUUAUACGUUCUGACACAGAAAACUCUUCUGCUAUCUCAAAACUUGGAGUCUGACUUUGUCUUCAUUGCAAUCAUUUUUACAAACUUCUGGCUAUAAAGAUUUCCUUUGUGGGAGAAAUGUCAUGAUUACAAAGAAAUCCAAAUCAGUCCAAGAUCAUUUUGCCAAUUGUUUUGCUAUGCAGACAAAAUAGAAAUCUCGUGAAUCUCAGCAAUAUCUUUAAGGUGGAAAAUUCUCGGCUGGAUCAAGGUCAUAAUUCUAUGAACUCUGCUUUGGGGGCUGUUAAUUAAAAAGUCUUUGGCUAAAACCACAUUGAGAGGAAGAACUGGAAUCCAGGACUCAUCCUUCUAGCAGAGUGUGCUUAUUUGCAGAUGCCAGAGUCUGCGGUCUGUGUUCUUCACUAGGCCACCAAAUAUGUCCAGCCUUUAGCAGGAAGACGGAACAAAAUAUCCAAUACAGAGGUUAAUUUCAUCCACUUCUGACAAGACUUUCCUGUUCAGAAAAGAAGGAUUAAUAAACCACAGUCACUCACUGUCUAACCACUAGUCUGAUAGAGAAAAGGCUGGGUCCCACUGGAAUCUGAGUUCAAAAUGUGUAGAAGAUGACAGAGUGUACAUGAGUUUCUCAGCUUAUAGUCAUGAAGCAAACACAGACCUGGACAGUGGGAUAGUUUAUUUUCGGUGAGGAGAAACUGACAAAAGCUGCUCUACCGCUCUAUUGUUCCAGAGUCUAGAUCCCUCAACAGUCCAACCAGCAUCCUUGCUUGACAGAGAUGGGUGAGCAGUCACUCCUUGGCUGCAUUUCUAGGCUGGAUUGAGGCAGCAGGGAGAUGACUGUGCAGUGGGGAUACAGCCGGUGCUGGUUCUCGGGUACUUCCUGCCCAGCAGUGGGAGGAAGAUGAAAGUUUCCAUACGAGGGAUUACUUCCAUGGCAACUUACAUAUAGACAAGUUCCUAUUAUGGAGAGAUACAAUACCGAUAAAGUAACCUUCAAGGAAACAAUAGUAAAUUCUUCACUGGUUUUAUUGUUGUUGCUGAAGAUGAAUGAAUAGGCCCAGCAUAGGCAUCUGAAUGCAUAUCAGAGUAUGCAAAGAAGAGCAAGUGAUGUAUACAAUAGUUGGGAUGAAGGAGUAAAGAAUGUUUUUGCAUGGAAAAUACACGAAAAGAAAAGAAGAGAAAAGAAGAGAAAAGAAGAGAAAAGAAGAGAAGAGAAAGGAAGAGAAAGGAAGAGAAAGGAAGAGAAAGGAAGAGAAAAGAAAAGAAAAGAAAAGAAAAAAGAAAAGAAAAGAAAAGAAAAGAAAAGAAAAGAAAAGAAAAGAAAAGAAAAGAAAAGAAAAGAAAAGAAAAGAAAAGAAAAGAAAAGAAAAGAAAAGAAAAGAAAAGAAAAGAAAAGAAAAGAAAAGAAAAGAAAAGAAAAGAAAAGAAAAGAAAAGAAAAGAAAAGAAAAGAAAAGAAAAGAAAAGAAAAGAAAAGAAAAGAAAAGAAAAGACCAUUAUUACAGCUUGUUGUUCUCAUUUGCCUCCUUGUCAAUUACUCUGCGUAUUAUCCUUUCCCCAGCAUAUGUAAACCACCAGCAGGAACCUUUCCAUCCACAUCCAGAGGUGAAAGUAGGCAGCAAAUGCCUUGUAGUAAUUACACCUUUGGACCCUCUGUUCCCUCUGUCCUCCUGGGAAGACUGACCAGCAUAUAUUCAUUUCCUUUUCUGCUGAAAAACUGCUGAACACUAGUCACAACAAAAAAAAAAAAAAAGAAGAUAUGAUUUCUUUAGCAGUCAGAGACCAAGGAGAAAUGGAGCAGGAAACACGACUGCUAUUUUCACGUUUCUGCAUUUAAUCCAUAUAUCAGGAUUAAAAUUUUCUAUUUUCAAGAUUCCUGUUAGGUUUUUGUUCUUGUUUUUGGUUUUUUUUUCCUUAAUAAAGAUCACAGUAUUUUAUGUGAAGCAGACAUUAAUCAUAAGCAAAAUAUUUAUUCAUGAAGAAACACAUAUCUAAUUAAAGAUUUUUUGUCAGCUCCCAGAAUAUGCCAAAGUUCAUAUCUACUGCUUCAACAGACCUCAUCACAUGGCAGGGAACUUAAAAAA